Molecule: non-coding RNA, 114 nt
Organism: Acanthosepion pharaonis
Lineage: Eukaryota; Metazoa; Mollusca; Cephalopoda; Sepiida; Sepiidae
Source: the annotation of a GenBank genome assembly
UUACGGUCAUAUCACGUUGAAACAGCGGUUCCCGUAUGUUCAACGAAGUUAAGCAACGUCGAUCUUAGUCAGUAUCUAGAUGGCUGCCCGCUUGGGAAUACCAGGUGCUGUAAU